This 55-nucleotide transfer RNA is filed under the name Candidatus Kerfeldbacteria bacterium. RNAcentral's name for it is "tRNA-Pro". Lineage: Bacteria; Candidatus Kerfeldiibacteriota. The record is from RNAcentral.
GGGGUAUAGCGCAGUUGGUAGCGCGCACGCAUGGGGUGCGUGAGGUCGCAGGUUC